UUCCAGAUGCGUCGUCUUUUAAUCAUGCUGUUGGUCGUCACCUGUGUGCUGGAUGUCAGUCUCGGCAGCCCGACCUAUCUCGUUGGCAAUACCAGUCAUAGGGGUCCUUAUUUUCCAUAUUAUCACAAGUAUGAUCAUCUUUAUCACUAUCCACGGUAUUACGAAUUUUCACCGCAGCCAGGGUACCACUUCCUCCAGCGUCGACACUGGAGCCCGCCGACACCCUACGUAUUCGAUGAUUUCUACGGGGGCUGAUGGACGGAGGCGUUGGUUCGAAUCCACAUCAUUGGCUUCACUUGUGGUUGUUAUUGUUGUUGUUAAAUGUUAAUGUUCAUGUAUUUCUUCAGCUGUUUGUUAUUUCAUCGAUUGAAUAAUUUAUUAUAUUUUGAUCCAUAUGUUUAGUUUCUUUGUCUAUUUAUUUCAAUGUGUCUUUUUUUGUAUUUAGCUUGUCCUUCCGUUUACCAUCUAGUCGUCUAAUUUACUUAUCUGUCUGUUCGGAUAUUUUAUGAUUUUUCUAUCGAAAAAUAAUAGCUAUUUUGUUGCCAUGUAUUUAUAUUUAUAUAUCGUAUUUACCUAUAUAUUUAUCAUAAAACAUGAACGUUAUCACUUUUGUUUCGUCUUCAUAUUAAAGACUUUGAUGUU
Penaeus chinensis is the source of this 642-nucleotide long non-coding RNA. RefSeq lists it as uncharacterized. Lineage: Eukaryota; Metazoa; Arthropoda; Malacostraca; Decapoda; Penaeidae. The transcript has 2 exons. The record is from RefSeq and is a predicted model, not a curated record.